UGGGGAAUCUUAGACAAUGGGCGCAAGCCUGAUCUAGCCAUGCCGCGUGAGUGAUGAAGGCCUUAGGGUCGUAAAGCUCUUUCGCUGGGGAAGAUAAUGACGGUACCCAGUAAAGAAACCCCGGCUAACUCCGUGCCAGCAGCCGCGGUAAUACGGAGGGGGUUAGCGUUGUUCGGAAUUACUGGGCGUAAAGCGCGCGUAGGCGGAUCAGAAAGUUGGGGGUGAAAUCCCGGGGCUCAACCCCGGAAUUGCCUUCAAAACUCCUGGUCUUGAGUUCGAGAGAGGUGAGUGGAAUUCCGAGUGUAGAGGUGAAAUUCGUAGAUAUUCGGAGGAACACCAGUGGCGAAGGCGGCUCACUGGCUCGAUACUGACGCUGAGGUGCGAAAGCGUGGGGAGCAAACA
Molecule: ribosomal RNA, 402 nt
Filed under: uncultured Paracoccaceae bacterium
Lineage: Bacteria; Pseudomonadati; Pseudomonadota; Alphaproteobacteria; Rhodobacterales; Paracoccaceae
Description: uncultured Rhodobacteraceae bacterium partial 16S ribosomal RNA
Rfam family: Bacterial small subunit ribosomal RNA
Source: RNAcentral